UACGUAGGGGGCAAGCGUUGUCCGGAAUCAUUGGGCGUAAAGCGCGUGUAGGCGGCUCGAUAAGUCUGCUGUGAAAGUCCAGGGCUCAACCCUGGGAUGCCGGUGGAUACUGUCGGGCUAGAGUGCGGAAGAGGCGAGUGGAAUUCCCGGUGUAGCGGUGAAAUGCGCAGAUAUCGGGAGGAACACCAAUUGCGAAGGCAGCUCGCUGGGACGUUACUGACGCUGAGACGCGAAAGCGUGGGGAGCAAACAGG
Molecule: ribosomal RNA, 253 nt
Filed under: uncultured bacterium
Lineage: Bacteria
Description: partial 16S ribosomal RNA
Rfam family: Bacterial small subunit ribosomal RNA
Source: RNAcentral